CAGUCGCCACGGGAAAACGGAGGGGGCUAGCGUUGUUCGGAAUUACUGGGCGUAAAGCGCACGUAGGCGGCUUGGUAAGUUAGAGGUGAAAGCCUGGAGCUCAACUCCAGAAUUGCCUUUAAGACUGCCGAGCUAGCAGGUGAGAGAGGUAAGUGGAAUUCCGAGUGUAGAGGUGAAAUUCGUAGAUAUUCGGAAGAACACCAGUGGCGAAGGCGGCUUACUGGCUCAUACUGGACGCUGAGGUGCGAAAGCGUGGGGAGCAAACAGGAUUAGAGACCCCUGUAGUCCCUGUCUCUUAUAC
Molecule: ribosomal RNA, 301 nt
Filed under: uncultured bacterium
Lineage: Bacteria
Description: partial 16S ribosomal RNA
Rfam family: Bacterial small subunit ribosomal RNA
Source: RNAcentral